RNAcentral lists this transfer RNA (74 nucleotides) under Kingdonia uniflora. It matches the Rfam family "tRNA". Rfam says of the family: Transfer RNA (tRNA) molecules are approximately 80 nucleotides in length. Their secondary structure includes four short double-helical elements and three loops (D, anti-codon, and T loops). RNAcentral also lists the same sequence under 3 other names. Lineage: Eukaryota; Viridiplantae; Streptophyta; Magnoliopsida; Ranunculales; Circaeasteraceae. The record is from Rfam by way of RNAcentral.
UCCGUUGUAGUCCAGCCUGGUUAGGAUACCUGGCUUUCACCCAGGCGACCCGGGUUCAAAUCCCGGCAACGGAA